This 717-nucleotide ribosomal RNA is filed under the name Salmonella enterica subsp. enterica serovar Typhimurium. Its description in RNAcentral is "bacterial SSU rRNA". It matches the Rfam family "Bacterial small subunit ribosomal RNA", at positions 46 to 752 of the family's 1533-position model. Lineage: Bacteria; Pseudomonadati; Pseudomonadota; Gammaproteobacteria; Enterobacterales; Enterobacteriaceae. The record is from RNAcentral.
GCCUAACACAUGCAAGUCGAACGGUAACAGGAAGCAGCUUGCUGCUUCGCUGACGAGUGGCGGACGGGUGAGUAAUGUCUGGGAAACUGCCUGAUGGAGGGGGAUAACUACUGGAAACGGUGGCUAAUACCGCAUAACGUCGCAAGACCAAAGAGGGGGACCUUCGGGCCUCUUGCCAUCAGAUGUGCCCAGAUGGGAUUAGCUUGUUGGUGAGGUAACGGCUCACCAAGGCGACGAUCCCUAGCUGGUCUGAGAGGAUGACCAGCCACACUGGAACUGAGACACGGUCCAGACUCCUACGGGAGGCAGCAGUGGGGAAUAUUGCACAAUGGGCGCAAGCCUGAUGCAGCCAUGCCGCGUGUAUGAAGAAGGCCUUCGGGUUGUAAAGUACUUUCAGCGGGGAGGAAGGUGUUGUGGUUAAUAACCGCAGCAAUUGACGUUACCCGCAGAAGAAGCACCGGCUAACUCCGUGCCAGCAGCCGCGGUAAUACGGAGGGUGCAAGCGUUAAUCGGAAUUACUGGGCGUAAAGCGCACGCAGGCGGUCUGUCAAGUCGGAUGUGAAAUCCCCGGGCUCAACCUGGGAACUGCAUUCGAAACUGGCAGGCUUGAGUCUUGUAGAGGGGGGUAGAAUUCCAGGUGUAGCGGUGAAAUGCGUAGAGAUCUGGAGGAAUACCGGUGGCGAAGGCGGCCCCCUGGACAAAGACUGACGCUCAGGU